AAGUCGUAACAAGGUCUCCGUAGGUGAACCUGCGGAGGGAUCAUUAACACAGUAUAUACAAUAAACUGUAUAUCAACCAACGGUAAAUGUUAUCCCCGAGCUAGCAUGUCCUGAUGAGGGACGGGUGUGAAGUCAGUCUGUGGUGUGAGUUAAUUGAUCGCAGUUGGAUCGAGGUCUCGGCCUCUUCUUCUGUGUUUCUCUUAUCUCUGCUGACUUUACUAGUAUACUUUCGAGUGUACAACCAGUGUUAGCAAGGGUCGUCCGUGGAUCAGGGUUUUCAGAUACCAUGCGAAGUCUGAUCCGCACUUUAUUUAACCUUUUGCUAUUAUGCCUGAUUGGAGGGGGUUUUUACAACUCGCUCAAAACUAAAUAUCUAAAACAACUCUUAGCAAUGGAUAUCUAGGCUUCCGGAAGGAUGAAGAACGCAGC
RNAcentral lists this unclassified non-coding RNA (429 nucleotides) under fungal sp. Its description in RNAcentral is "partial internal transcribed spacer region". The stretch from base 1 to 46 matches the Rfam family "Eukaryotic small subunit ribosomal RNA", at positions 1786 to 1831 of the family's 1831-position model. The record is from RNAcentral. Lineage: Eukaryota; Fungi.